GGUCGGGUGGCGCAACGGUAGCGUGUGGUCCUCCUAAGACUGAGGUUGUGGGUUCGAGUCCCACCUCGAUCG
RNAcentral lists this transfer RNA (72 nucleotides) under Thermothelomyces thermophilus ATCC 42464. Its description in RNAcentral is "tRNA-Arg (CCT) (tRNA-Arg-CCT-2-1)". It matches the Rfam family "tRNA". Rfam says of the family: Transfer RNA (tRNA) molecules are approximately 80 nucleotides in length. Their secondary structure includes four short double-helical elements and three loops (D, anti-codon, and T loops). The record is from RNAcentral. Lineage: Eukaryota; Fungi; Ascomycota; Sordariomycetes; Sordariales; Chaetomiaceae.